UACGUAGGUGGCAAGCGUUGUCCGGAUUUACUGGGUGUAAAGGGCGUGCAGCCGGGCUGACAAGUCAGAUGUGAAAUCCCGCGGCUCAACCGCGGAACUGCAUUUGAAACUGUUAGUCUUGAGUACCGGAGAGGUCAUCGGAAUUCCUUGUGUAGCGGUGAAAUGCGUAGAUAUAAGGAAGAACACCAGUGGCGAAGGCGGAUGUCUGGACGGCAACUGACGGUGAGGCGCGAAGGCGUGGGGAGCAAACAGG
This 253-nucleotide ribosomal RNA is filed under the name uncultured bacterium. Its description in RNAcentral is "partial 16S ribosomal RNA". It matches the Rfam family "Bacterial small subunit ribosomal RNA", at positions 524 to 776 of the family's 1533-position model. The record is from RNAcentral.